Prunus mume (Japanese apricot) is the source of this 662-nucleotide long non-coding RNA. RefSeq lists it as uncharacterized. The record is from RefSeq and is a predicted model, not a curated record. NCBI's taxonomy places the organism in Eukaryota, Viridiplantae, Streptophyta, Magnoliopsida, Rosales, Rosaceae.
AAUUUUGGCUCACCAAUCUGGCUUCAAACAAUUGAUUCUGAGAAGAUGAUAGUAGCCAAAAGUUGAAGGACGUAUCUAGAGCCCUUUCUCAAGAAUCAGAACCACAUGUCAGCUGGACAGAUUCAUAACCAAACUCAAAUCCACAAUAUGCUCUGCCUUUAGAAAAAGGCUCUUUAGACAUUACAUUACUAGAAGCCGACCAAUAUCAGAAUCUUUACUCCAUUAUACCAUUAUAGGGUUCAUGAGCCUCUCUCUCUCUCUCUCUCUCUCUCUCUCUCUCUCUCUCUCUCUCUCUAUAUAUAUAUAUAUAUAUAUGCAUGCACAGAUGAAUCAACAUUUACACCACCACAUACAGAUUUAUACUAGUCACCUAGACACUGAUCUUUGAAUCGAAUUUGAUCUUUCGUCUUAAGUUAGAUCAUAGCUUCUGCUGUUUCUUCUCCAAGAUGGCCAAGACACAGGCACAAGAGAACCAACCUCCAGCAGGAUACCCAACUGCAACUGAGAAUCCCCCAACUGGGAAGAAGUUUAGGCCUCGGACAAAAAAGAAAGGAGACAGGGGCUUUAUUGAGGGAUGCCUCUUUGCCUUAUGCUGCUGUUGGCUUUGUGAGGAAUGCUUCUGAAUUUACUCUAAGCACGACUACCAUAAUAGCUUCCUAGCU